RNAcentral lists this ribosomal RNA (526 nucleotides) under uncultured Bacteroidota bacterium. RNAcentral describes it as "bacterial SSU rRNA". It matches the Rfam family "Bacterial small subunit ribosomal RNA", at positions 338 to 867 of the family's 1533-position model. The record is from RNAcentral. Lineage: Bacteria; Pseudomonadati; Bacteroidota.
CCUACGGGAGGCAGCAGUGAGGAAUAUUGGGCAAUGGAGGAGACUCUGACCCAGCCAUGCCGCGUGUAGGAAGAAUGCCCUAUGGGUUGUAAACUACUUUUAUACAGGAAGAAACACUGGUAUGUAUACCAGCUUGACGGUACUGUAAGAAUAAGGACCGGCUAACUCCGUGCCAGCAGCCGCGGUAAUACGGAGGGUCCAAGCGUUAUCCGGAAUCAUUGGGUUUAAAGGGUCCGCAGGCGGUCAAUUAAGUCAGAGGUGAAAUCCCGUCGCUCAACGACGGAACUGCCUUUGAUACUGGUUGACUUGAGUCAUAUGGAAGUAGAUAGAAUGUGUAGUGUAGCGGUGAAAUGCAUAGAGAUUACACAGAAUACCGAUUGCGAAGGCAGUCUACUACGUAUGUACUGACGCUGAGGGACGAAAGCGUGGGGAGCGAACAGGAUUAGAUACCCUGGUAGUCCACGCCGUAAACGAUGGAUACUAGUUGUUGGGCAAUAGCUCAGUGACUAAGCGAAAGUGAUAAGAU